Molecule: long non-coding RNA, 1559 nt
Organism: Paramormyrops kingsleyae
Lineage: Eukaryota; Metazoa; Chordata; Actinopteri; Osteoglossiformes; Mormyridae
Source: RefSeq, a predicted model, not a curated record
AUAAAUCAACCGUGGACCACGGCAAGACAACCUCAUCCGAGGCGUAUCACAGUCAAACAUCAGAUGACUCCAGGGCUUUGUGCUCAGUGGGAGGUUUCCUUUGGAGCAGAACUGAAAGGGAACACUCAUUAUUCUUGGAUAUGUGCCAGUGAAACAGGAGACGCUCUGCCACUGAGGACUGGGAGUGAUGGAAAUGAUAAAAAACUGAGAUCUGGGGGGACUGGAGCAAAAAUGGAACAGUUUGCUGACGGCUCAGAAAAACCAUUGAUGGGGCCUUGCCUUCUGAUACAAGGCAUCUUCAAUCAAUCAUUUCACAGCCUCUUGCUGCUGCCAAAUGCUUGGGGAUCAUGCAAUAUCUUUCGAUUUAAAUUGCUUUCUUCUUUAAGACUCUCUUCGGUGACGGGUAUUCUUGGGUGGAUAAUACAGAUUGCGUUGUUAUUGCUUAAGAAUACGCGUAGUUGAGGAGAGUCAUUUCUUCGGCGACUUCAAGGAACUUAAAUCCAUUGACCCUAAAGUACCUGGAUGCCUGUUUGUUUCUGUAUUUUUUUUUCCUUAACAUUGAGGGCAAUUACAUAGUGAAUUUAAAUGAACGCUGGGGUACGUUGUGAAGCCGCCAGUGAAAACAUCAUUUAUUUCAUACUCUUUUCAUGAUUGCAGCUUUGAGUCUUUGAAUCAUGUGCUAGCUGGAACAACGCUGGCCGUUAAUAAUUUUCUUGGAAUAAUAAAAAAAAAAAUGUUAACAUAACCAGCAUUGUUGUGUGUUAUGUUUAAUAGACCAUAUACGUAUUUGAUAUUCCCAAUACCUUAGUGUAGGCCACUCGCUGGAAAUAUACUUCUUGUAUAUUUAUUAGAAAUAAUGUUGCAUAUUUGUAUGCAUUUCAACUGAUUGUAAUGGGCAGCUGAAUUUUAAAUAGAAAUUAUUAACAAAAGCAUUUGUAUUAUUUACAGUUUUGUAGUAAAAUAUGUCGCUCUCCAUCAUUUAAUGGUGAGUGAUUUUGAAAUGAUAUAUAUCAUACAAGUUCCCAUUCCUCACUAACUGUGAAACAAAAUGUCCACCAUGGACUGACAGCCUGGCACUACAUAUGCAGUGGCACUGGCACUGGCACUGGCAGUGCAGUGGCACUGGUACUAUAAUAUUUGCAGUACUGUAGUAAAAUAUGUCCCUUGGAAUACAAACUCUCCAUCUUUUAAUGAUAAGUCAUUUCAAGUUAUGUCUAUCAUACAAGUGUCCCAUCCUCAAUAACUGUGAAACAAAAUGUCCACCAUGGACUGGCAGCCUGGCACUAUAUAUGCAGUUUGUGACUGAAUUUGAAUAAAGUACACGCAUGUGCACACAAACACAUAGACGCUCACAGACACAAGAUAAGGAAAUAACAGAGUCCCAGUUGCACAGGUGCUACAAAUAGAUUCCACUAUAAGGUGCAUUGGUCUAAACUUACAUUGUGUGUAGGGGAUUGAUAUAAUAGUUAGGUGUAAAUUACAAACAUGUGCAACAUAGCAGCCUCUAUGUACCGCUAAAGUAUUUCAUUGUGAAAAUCAAUAAAGCAUUUGCCUUUUUA